This 253-nucleotide ribosomal RNA is filed under the name uncultured bacterium. Its description in RNAcentral is "partial 16S ribosomal RNA". It matches the Rfam family "Bacterial small subunit ribosomal RNA", at positions 524 to 776 of the family's 1533-position model. The record is from RNAcentral.
UACGUAGGGUGCGAGCGUUGUCCGGAAUUAUUGGGCGUAAAGGGCUCGUAGGCGGUUUGUCGCGUCGGGAGUGAAAACCCAGGGCUUAACCCUGGGCUGGCUUCCGAUACGGGCAGGCUAGAGGUAUGCAGGGGAGAACGGAAUUCCUGGUGUAGCGGUGGAAUGCGCAGAUAUCAGGAGGAACACCGGUGGCGAAGGCGGGUCUCUGGGCAGUAACUGACGCUGAGGAGCGAAAGCGUGGGGAGCGAACAGG